RNAcentral lists this ribosomal RNA (696 nucleotides) under Actinomadura bangladeshensis. Its description in RNAcentral is "bacterial SSU rRNA". It matches the Rfam family "Bacterial small subunit ribosomal RNA", at positions 55 to 766 of the family's 1533-position model. The record is from RNAcentral. Lineage: Bacteria; Bacillati; Actinomycetota; Actinomycetes; Streptosporangiales; Thermomonosporaceae.
AUGCAAGUCGAGCGGAAAGGCCCCUUCGGGGGUACUCGAGCGGCGAACGGGUGAGUAACACGUGAGCAACCUGCCCCUGACUCUGGGAUAAGCCCGGGAAACUGGGUCUAAUACCGGAUGUGACCAGCCUCCGCAUGGAGUGCUGGUGGAAAGUUUUUCGGUUGGGGAUGGGCUCGCGGCCUAUCAGCUUGUUGGUGGGGUGAUGGCCUACCAAGGCGACGACGGGUAACCGGCCUGAGAGGGCGACCGGUCACACUGGGACUGAGACACGGCCCAGACUCCUACGGGAGGCAGCAGUGGGGAAUAUUGCGCAAUGGGCGGAAGCCUGACGCAGCGACGCCGCGUGAGGGAUGACGGCCUUCGGGUUGUAAACCUCUUUCAGCAGGGACGAAGCUAACGUGACGGUACCUGCAGAAGAAGCGCCGGCUAACUACGUGCCAGCAGCCGCGGUAAUACGUAGGGCGCAAGCGUUGUCCGGAAUUAUUGGGCGUAAAGAGCUCGUAGGCGGUUUGUCGCGUCUGUCGUGAAAGCCCACGGCUUAACCGUGGGUCUGCGGUGGAUACGGGCAGACUAGAGGCAGGUAGGGGAGAAUGGAAUUCCCGGUGUAGCGGUGAAAUGCGCAGAUAUCGGGAGGAACACCGGUGGCGAAGGCGGUUCUCUGGGCCUGUACUGACGCUGAGGAGCGAAAGCGUGGGG